UACAGAGGGUGCGAGCGUUGUCCGGAAUUACUGGGCGUAAAGGGCGCGUAGGCGGCCUGAUACGUAGGGGGUGAAAUUCCGUGGCUCAACCACGGAACUGCCUUCUAGACUGCCAGGCUUGAGCACGGUAGAGGCAGAUGGAAUUCCCGGUGUAGCGGUGGAAUGCGUAGAGAUCGGGAAGAACACCAGUGGCGAAGGCGGUCUGCUGGGCCGUUGCUGACGCUGAUGCGCGACAGCGUGGGGAGCAAACAGG
This 253-nucleotide ribosomal RNA is filed under the name uncultured bacterium. RNAcentral describes it as "partial 16S ribosomal RNA". It matches the Rfam family "Bacterial small subunit ribosomal RNA", at positions 524 to 776 of the family's 1533-position model. The record is from RNAcentral.